RNAcentral lists this ribosomal RNA (1461 nucleotides) under human oral metagenome. RNAcentral describes it as "bacterial LSU rRNA". The stretch from base 291 to 1461 matches the Rfam family "Bacterial large subunit ribosomal RNA", at positions 1 to 2128 of the family's 2925-position model. The record is from RNAcentral.
GUCAGCUGUGAUUGUGACUGUACUCCAGCCUGGGCAACAGAGUGAUACCCUGUCUCAAAAAGAAGAAAGAAGAAAGAAGAAGAAAGAAGAGGAGAAGAAAGAAAUUCGAGUUACUAUCAAAAGAAGGUGGGAAAUCUUCAGCAGUAAGUAUGAGUAUUUCUUUGUUGAUCAAAAUGGAGACCUUAUGUUCCAUUACAUAGAUGAAGGGCAACUAGGUGAUUUUAGGCAGGCAAUAACUGAAUUCUACAAGUCCGUCUCAGAUACAAAACUCUUUAAAAAAGUGACAUUUUCCUUCAAAUAUAAACUAUAUUGAUAAUCAAUCAGUUAUAAAUUCUUUGUGGAAUUUUGAGGUGUUUUUGGCCAAAAAAGGUACCAAAAUACCGCUUUUUGAAAUUCAAAACCUAUUAUAUGUAGAAUGAAAUAAUGAGAAUUUUUUUUAUGAAGAAGACUGACGAAAAUAUAGAGGUAAUAAAUUCCGCAGAUUGCAUUGAUAUAAUAGAAGACAAGCCCAAGAAAAGUAUAAAUAAUUAAGUGCAAGUGGUAGGAGAGCGUUGCAUUCAGCGUCGAAGGUGUACCGGUAAGGAGCGCUGGAGCGAAUGCAAGUGAGCAUGCAGGCAUGAGUAGCGAUAAUUGGGGUGAGAAUCCCCAACGCCGUAAACCCAAGGUUUCCUACGCGAUGCUCGUCAUCGUAGGGUUAGCCGGGUCCUAAGCAAAGUCCGAAAGGGGUAUGCGAUGGAAAAUUGGUUAAUAUUCCAAUGCCAACUAUAAUGUGCGAUGGAAGGACGCUUAGAGUUAGAGGAGCCAGCGGAUGGUAGUGCUGGUCGAAAGGUGUAGGUUAAGAUCCAGGCAAAUCCGGAUCUUUUUAAGCCGAGACCCCAUAGGCACACAAAGUUCUUCGGAACAGCGUGUGAAUCCUUGAUACUGUCGAGCCAAGAAAAGUUUCUAAGUUUAGUUAUAGUUGCCCGUACCGUAAACCGACACAGGUGGGUGGGAUGAGUAUUCUAAGGCGCGUGGAAGAACUCUCUUCAAGGAACUCUGCAAAAUAGCACCGUAUCUUCGGUAUAAGGUGUGCCUAGCUUCGUUAAGAAUUUACUUCGUAAGCGAAGAAGGUUACAACAAAGAGUCCCUCCCGACUGUUUACCAAAAACACAGCACUCUGCUAACUCGUAAGAGGAUGUAUAGGGUGUGACGCCUGCCCGGUGCUCGAAGGUUAAUUGAUGACGUUAGCUCUGCGAAGCGUUUGAUCGAAGCCCGAGUAAACGGCGGCCGUAACUAUAACGGUCCUAAGGUAGCGAAAUUCCUUGUCGAUUAAAUAUCGACCUGCAUGAAUGGCGUAACGAGAUGGGAGCUGUCUCGAAGAGGGAUCCAGUGAAAUUGUAGUGGAGGUGAAAAUUCCUCCUACCCGCGGCAAGACGGAGAGACCCCGUGGACCUUUACUAUAGCUUGACACUGCUACUUGGA